This 429-nucleotide ribosomal RNA is filed under the name Chloroflexota bacterium. RNAcentral describes it as "Chloroflexi bacterium partial 16S ribosomal RNA". It matches the Rfam family "Bacterial small subunit ribosomal RNA", at positions 355 to 776 of the family's 1533-position model. The record is from RNAcentral. Lineage: Bacteria; Bacillati; Chloroflexota.
UGGGGAAUAUUGCACAAUGGGCGCAAGCCUGAUGCAGCCAUGCCGCGUGUAUGAAGAAGGCCUUCGGGUUGUAAAGCACUUUCAGCGGGGAGGAAGGCGUUAAGGUUAAUAACCUUGGCGAUUGACGUUACCCGCAGAAGAAGCACCGGCUAACUCCGUGCCAGCAGCCGCGGUAAUACGGAGGGUGCAAGCGUUAAUCGGAAUUACUGGGCGUAAAGCGCACGCAGGCGGUUUGUUAAGUCAGAUGUGAAAUCCCCGGGCUCAACCUGGGAACUGCAUCUGAUACUGGCAAGCUUGAGUCUCGAAGAGGGGGGUAGAAUUCCAGGUGUAGCGGUGAAAUGCGUAGAGAUCUGGAGGAAUACCGGUGGCGAAGGCGGCCCCCUGGACGAAGACUGACGCUCAGGUGCGAAAGCGUGGGGAGCAAACAGG